This 158-nucleotide ribosomal RNA is filed under the name Alternaria brassicae. Its description in RNAcentral is "5.8S ribosomal RNA". It matches the Rfam family "5.8S ribosomal RNA". From Rfam's summary of the family: 5.8S ribosomal RNA (5.8S rRNA) is a component of the large subunit of the eukaryotic ribosome. It is transcribed by RNA polymerase I as part of the 45S precursor that also contains 18S and 28S rRNA. Functionally, it is thought that 5.8S rRNA may be involved in ribosome translocation. The record is from RNAcentral. Lineage: Eukaryota; Fungi; Ascomycota; Dothideomycetes; Pleosporales; Pleosporaceae.
CAACUUUCAAACAACGGAUCUCUUGGUUCUGGCAUCGAUGAAGAACGCAGCGAAAUGCGAUAAGUAGUGUGAAUUGCAGAAUUCAGUGAAUCAUCGAAUCUUUGAACGCACAUUGCGCCCUUUGGUAUUCCAAAGGGCAUGCCUGUUCGAGCGUCAUU